CCGCACGUAGCUCAGUGGAUAGAGCACCAGUCUUCGGAACUGGGUGUCGGGGGUUCGAAUCCCUUCGUGCGGGCCA
Molecule: transfer RNA, 76 nt
Filed under: Armatimonadota bacterium
Lineage: Bacteria; Bacillati; Armatimonadota
Also listed under: 1 other name
Description: tRNA-Arg
Rfam family: tRNA
About the family: Transfer RNA (tRNA) molecules are approximately 80 nucleotides in length. Their secondary structure includes four short double-helical elements and three loops (D, anti-codon, and T loops).
Source: RNAcentral